Molecule: ribosomal RNA, 492 nt
Filed under: uncultured bacterium
Lineage: Bacteria
Description: partial 16S ribosomal RNA
Rfam family: Bacterial small subunit ribosomal RNA
Source: RNAcentral
AGUGAACGCUGGCGGUAGGCCUAACACAUGCAAGUCGAACGGCAGCACAGUAAGAGCUUGCUCUUACGGGUGGCGAGUGGCGGACGGGUGAGGAAUACAUCGGAAUCUACUUUUUCGUGGGGGAUAACGUAGGGAAACUUACGCUAAUACCGCAUACGACCUACGGGUGAAAGCAGGGGAUCUUCGGACCUUGCGCGAUUGAAUGAGCCGAUGUCGGAUUAGCUAGUUGGCGGGGUAAAGGCCCACCAAGGCGACGAUCCGUAGCUGGUCUGAGAGGAUGAUCAGCCACACUGGAACUGAAACACGGUCCAGACUCCUACGGGAGGCAGCAGUGGGGAAUAUUGGACAAUGGGCGCAAGCCUGAUCCAGCCAUACCGCGUGGGUGAAGAAGGCCUUCGGGUUGUAAAGCCCUUUUGUUGGGAAAGAAAAGCAGCAGGUUAAUACCCCGCUGUUCUGACGGUACCUAAAGAAUAAGCACCGGCUAACUUCGUG